This 73-nucleotide transfer RNA is filed under the name Marmota monax (woodchuck). Its description in RNAcentral is "tRNA.Ala". The record is from RNAcentral. Lineage: Eukaryota; Metazoa; Chordata; Mammalia; Rodentia; Sciuridae.
UGGUUGUAGCUCAGUGGUAGGUAGAGUGCUUGCCUAGCAUGUGUGAGGCCCUGGGUUCGAUUCUCAGCACCAG